This 719-nucleotide long non-coding RNA is filed under the name Suricata suricatta (meerkat). RNAcentral describes it as "lncRNA (ENSSSUG00005001991.1)". Lineage: Eukaryota; Metazoa; Chordata; Mammalia; Carnivora; Herpestidae. The record is from RNAcentral.
AGACUGACCCGCCGCCCCUCCCCCGCGCGCGCUCCCGCUCGGCUCCAUCCACCCAACCAGGAAGUGAACCGUCGCCGGAAGUGCCGCUCGGGACAGCAAGGUGAGGAGCCGAGGCCCUCCUGUUGCUGCCGCCGGGUCGCGACAGACGAGAAGGAGUCGUGGAAGAGAAGGGGACCCGGGAGAGGGGUGUCUCGGUGUGGAGAGAGUUUUGGAAAAGAACUUUUAUCGCCCGGCCCGCAGGGCACCAUGGGAAACGUAGUUCGGCACAAGCCACCCGCUGCACUACAACUCCCAGGAUGCCCCUGAAGGAGCGAGCGAGGAGGCUGCGGUGGCCUCCUCGGCCUCGAAGAUUCCCUCCUUCCUCCUUCCUUGAUGUUUAUUUUACCCUGAUAUCGCCUGAGUGCCAAAGUCCACUUGGAGGACAAUGUGGUUUUCAUCAGCCAAAUGCAGAAGAUUUGGAAGGCCAGUUAGUACCCUUCUACAUCCCUAGAUUUCCUGAUCGACGAUGCUGAAGCAGGUCACUCAGGAGGUGAAUCUGAGAGAGAACACGAGAGGAGGCAGUUUCAACAGGAGGCUGCUACAGGAAUCCAUGUAAGAGAUCAUGGUGGAAAAUGGCUCCCAAGUUCUUGGCUUAACCAUUGGCUGGAGGUAAGAGCAGAGACAAAAAGAACUGCAUUUUGGUCAUUUCAAGGUUUAAGUAUCUGAGACAUUUAGGUGGG